UGGGGAAUUUUGGACAAUGGGCGAAAGCCUGAUCCAGCAAUGCCGCGUGUGUGAAGAAGGCCUUCGGGUUGUAAAGCACUUUUGUCCGGAAAGAAAUGGCUCUGGUUAAUACCUGGGGUCGAUGACGGUACCGGAAGAAUAAGGACCGGCUAACUACGUGCCAGCAGCCGCGGUAAUACGUAGGGUCCAAGCGUUAAUCGGAAUUACUGGGCGUAAAGCGUGCGCAGGCGGUUGUGCAAGACCGAUGUGAAAUCCCCGAGCUUAACUUGGGAAUUGCAUUGGUGACUGCACGGCUAGAGUGUGUCAGAGGGGGGUAGAAUUCCACGUGUAGCAGUGAAAUGCGUAGAGAUGUGGAGGAAUACCGAUGGCGAAGGCAGCCCCCUGGGAUAACACUGACGCUCAUGCACGAAAGCGUGGGGAGCAAACAGGAUUAGAUACCCUGGUAGUCCACGCCCUAAAGCGAUGUCAACUAGUUGUUGGGGGAUUCAUUUCCUUAGUAACGUAGCUAACGCGUGAAG
RNAcentral lists this ribosomal RNA (518 nucleotides) under uncultured bacterium. RNAcentral's name for it is "partial 16S ribosomal RNA". It matches the Rfam family "Bacterial small subunit ribosomal RNA", at positions 355 to 864 of the family's 1533-position model. The record is from RNAcentral.